RNAcentral lists this long non-coding RNA (1244 nucleotides) under Callithrix jacchus (white-tufted-ear marmoset). RNAcentral describes it as "lncRNA (ENSCJAG00000076547.1)". Lineage: Eukaryota; Metazoa; Chordata; Mammalia; Primates; Cebidae. The record is from RNAcentral.
AUGGCAGAGAGCAAGGCUGCCUACAAGCGGCACAGAUGGAGAAUGAGGAAAAAGAAAAGAGUGCCAGGGAGACACAUGAGUGAGGAGCCAGCCCAGAAACGCCUGUGCCUGAAGAACGCUUUCUGGCGAGGUGGGAGCUCCCGUGAAGGCAGCCGCUUAGUUUCCGCUGCAGGACCCACACGCCCUGCUUCUCCUUUUGGGGGUGAGGGCUCAGGUGGGGUCAUUGUCAUGUUUCCUGGAAACACUUCCAAGCACUUGUGAAGAGAACAGUUGUCCCGCUGGGGGGCACGACCCCAUUUUUCUCAGGUACCCUAGCUGAAUGGCUCUUGGCUGGACCCGUGUGAAUGGUGGAGCUCAGGCCCCUCCACUGACUGUGGACUUUGCCCCCCACUGAUGUCUUGGUUACUUUUAACUGUGAAGAUGAGCCUACAAGGCAAAUGGGCCAGCUCCCCCUCCCACCUUGAGUUGGUGUGAAGGCUUUGUUUUUCUUUCCUUAGAGAAAAGUACCAACAAUAGCAUUUUAGAAUGGGAGCUGUAAGUGCUGAGGAGAGCAGAGAUUUUCGGGCAAUGUCUUCAUGGCUCAAUAAAGCAGUACCUGAGAUCUGCUUUAAGAAAAGAAGCCUUUAUUUGCACUUUUUGGAACUUCCUUCGUUCUUUUUGCUCAUUUAAAUUGUUUAUUGUGAACUAGAUAACUUCUUUAGUAAGCUAAAUUUCUAUGUAAUCUUACUCCUCUAACAUUUGAAGUGUGACCCUCAAACUUUCCGGUUGAUUUCUUUCUCUCUUUUCUUUCCUUUUCUUUUUGAAAACCUCACUCUGUCACCCAGGCUGAAGUGCAGUGGUGCAGUUUUUGCUCACUGCAACCUCUGCCUCCUAAGUUCAAGCAAUUCUCCUGCCUCGGCGUCCCAAGUGGCUGGGAAUACAUGUGCCUGCCACCAUGCCUGACAAAUGUUUCCUUUUGUGUUUUUAGUAGAGACAGAGUUUCACCAUGUUGGUCAGGCUUGUCUGUAACUCUUGACCUCAGGUGAUCUGCCCACCUCAGCCUUCCAAAGUUCCGGGAUUAGAAGUGUGAGCCACCUCACCCGACCCCCAUUUAAUUCCUACAGCGCUUACCUUUUCUCAUGACUGUUAGUCUCUUUAUGUUCAUUUCUGUUCAUAAAUAUUGGCAAUGCCUGGUGAGAUGUGGAGGUUAGAUUCACUAUGAAUCCACAGGAUUUUAAAUGCCCCAACAGCUGAAGAAAAGGAGC